CCUACGGGAGGCAGCAGUGGGGAAUUUUGGACAAUGGGCGCAAGCCUGAUCCAGCAAUGCCGCGUGAGUGAAGAAGGCCUUCGGGUUGUAAAGCUCUUUUGUCAGGGAAGAAACGGUAGGAGCUAAUAUCUCUUGCUAAUGACGGUACCUGAAGAAUAAGCACCGGCUAACUACGUGCCAGCAGCCGCGGUAAUACGUAGGGUGCAAGCGUUAAUCGGAAUUACUGGGCGUAAAGCGUGCGCAGGCGGUUUUGUAAGUCUGUCGUGAAAGCCCCGGGCUCAACCUGGGAAUUGCGAUGGAGACUGCAAGGCUUGAAUCUGGCAGAGGGGGGUAGAAUUCCACGUGUAGCAGUGAAAUGCGUAGAGAUGUGGAGGAACACCGAUGGCGAAGGCAGCCCCCUGGGUCAAGAUUGACGCUCAUGCACGAAAGCGUGGGGGAGCAAACAGGAUUAGAUACCCUGGUAGUCCACGCCCUAAACGAUGUCUACUAGUUGUCGGGUUUUAAUUAACUUGGUAACGCAGCUAACGCGUGAAGUAGACCGCCUGGGGAAUCGGUCGCAAGNUAAACUAAANGAAUUGACGG
This 582-nucleotide ribosomal RNA is filed under the name uncultured bacterium. RNAcentral describes it as "bacterial SSU rRNA". It matches the Rfam family "Bacterial small subunit ribosomal RNA", at positions 338 to 916 of the family's 1533-position model. The record is from RNAcentral.